RNAcentral lists this ribosomal RNA (274 nucleotides) under uncultured bacterium. RNAcentral describes it as "partial 16S ribosomal RNA". It matches the Rfam family "Bacterial small subunit ribosomal RNA", at positions 524 to 796 of the family's 1533-position model. The record is from RNAcentral.
CACGUAGGGGGCGAGCGUUGUCCGGAUUUAUUGGGCGUAAAGAGCUCGUAGGCGGCUCGGUAAGUCGGGUGUGAAACCUCCAGGCUCAACCUGGAGACGCCAUCCGAUACUGCCGUGGCUAGAGUCCGGUAGGGGAGCGUGGAAUUCCCAGUGUAGCGGUGAAAUGCGCAGAUAUUGGGAGGAACACCAGCGGCGAAGGCGGCGCUCUGGGCCGGAACUGACGCUGAGGAGCGAAAGCGUGGGGAGCGAACAGGAUUAGAAACCCCCGUAGUCC